Molecule: long non-coding RNA, 993 nt
Filed under: Homo sapiens (human)
Lineage: Eukaryota; Metazoa; Chordata; Mammalia; Primates; Hominidae
Description: HSALNT0076853
Source: RNAcentral
UUUUAUUAAUUUUUCUUCAGGUUCUUUGAAUAUUUGGUAAUUUUUUAUUGAAUGCUAUUUUGAAGUGGCAUAUUGAAUUUCAUUGAACUUUGUAGUCUUGGGUAUUGAAUUUUGUUCUGUUAUUUUAAAAGUGGGAUUAGCUUUGAACUUUCAAGACUUUAAGCUUUUUUUGUUUGUUUGUUUUGAGACGGAGUCUCACUCUGUCACCAGGCUGAAGUGCAGUGGCGCGAUCUCGGCUCACUGCAACCUCUGCCUCCUAGGUUCAAGCAAUUCUCCUGCCUCAGCCUCCUGAGUAGCUGGGACUACAGGUGGGUGCCACUAUGCUAAAUUUUGUAUUUUUAGAAGAGACGGGGUUUCACCAUGUUGGGCAGGAUGCUCUUGAUCUCUUGACCUCGUGAUCUGCCCACUUUGGCCUCCCAAAGUGCUGGGAUUAUAGGCAUGAGCCCCCGUGACCAGCCCGGCCUUGUUUUAAGCUUUUUAAUAUCAGGUCCAGAGCAACCUUCAGCCUAGGAAUAACUUAGCCCCAUUAUCAAGGUAAUACUUUUCUGAAGAAAUUCAAAAUAUGAGAUAAAUUCCACAUUUCUGGUAAUUCUUGACUGAAUCACAUAUUUGAAUGUUCAUUAAACAUAUUAUCUAAAAGAUAAUUAUCCAAAACUUUAAUUGUAACAUGAACCAAAUCAAAAUAUACCAAGAAAGUAACAAGCAUAACAAGAGAUCAUGGCGGGGUGUGGUGGCUCACGCCUGUAAUCCCAGCACUUUGGGAAGCCAAGGCAGGUGGAUCUACUUGAGGCCAGGAGUUCGAGAGCAGCCUGGCUAACAUGGUGAAACCCAUCUCUACUAAAAAUACAAAAAAUUAGCUGGGUAUGGUGGUGCAUGCCUGUAAUCCCAGCUACUAGGGAGGCUGAAGCAUGAAAAUUGCUUGAGCCUGGGAGGCAGAGGUUGUAGUGAGCCAAGAUUGCACCACUGCACUGCAGCCUGAGUGACAGAGCAAGA